CGCCGGGAAUGGAAAGCCCGGUGCAAGCGGGGUACCAGUCACUUUGGCAAAUCCGGGUGGCAAUGGGAAGCCGUGAUGCGGAGCGAAAUAAAGUAGUGAAGUCCGUGAGCCAUGCGUCAAGAAAAGCCGCUAUUGUUUAUACCGUACCCGUACCGUAAACCGACACAGGUGGAUGAGGAGAGAAACCUAAGGCCGGCGGAAGAAGCAUUGUCAAGGAACUCGGCAAAAUGGCCCCGUAACUUAGGGAUAAGGGGUGCCUGGGAAACCAGGCCGCAGAGAAUAGGCUCAAGCAACUGUUUAGCAAAAACACAGGUCUAUGCGAAACCGAAAGGUGAGGUAUAUGGGCUGACGCCUGCCCGGUGCUGGAAGGUUAAGAGGAGAGGUUAGCGGUAACGCGAAGCUUUGAAUUUAAGCCCCAGUAAACGGCGGCCGUAACAAUAACGGUCCUAAGGUAGCGAAAUUCCUUGUCGGGUAAGUUCCGACCCGCACGAAAGGCGUAAUGAUUUGAGCGCUGUCUCGACAAUGCAUCCGGUGAAAUUGAAGUACCAGUGAAGAUGCUGGUUACCUGCGCCAGGACGGAAAGACCCCAUGGAGCUUUACUCCAGUCUGGUACUGGGACUCGGUAUUGCAUGUACAGGAUAGGUGGGAGGCUAGGAGAUGGUAACGCCAGUUGCCAUGGAGCCGCUGUUGGGAUACCACCCUUGCAGUAUUGGGUUUCUAACCAGCCGCCGUGACCCGGCGGUGGGACAAUGCCAGACGGGGAGUUUGACUGGGGCGGUCGCCUCCGAAAGGGUAUCGGAGGCGCCCAAAGGUUCCCUCAGAAUGGACGGAAACCAUUCGAAGAGUGCAAAGGCAGAAGGGAGCUUGACUGCGACACCGACGGGUGGAGCAGGUACGAAAGUAGGGCUUAGUGAUCCGGUGGUAUUAAGUGGGAAUGCCAUCGCUCAACGGAUAAAAGCUACCCUGGGGAUAACAGGCUUAUCACUCCCAAGAGUUCACAUCGACGGAGUGGUUUGGCACCUCGAUGUCGGCUCAUCGCAUCCUGGGGCUGUAGUAGGUCCCAAGGGUUGGGCUGUUCGCCCAUUAAAGCGGUACGCGAGCUGGGUUCAGAACGUCGUGAGACAGUUCGGUCCCUAUCCGGCGUGGGCGUAGGAUAUCUGAGAGGAGCUGUCCUUAGUACGAGAGGACCGGGAUGGACGGGCCGCUGGUGCAUCGGUUAGACUGCCAAGUCUACGGCCGAGUAGCCAAGCCCGGAAGGGAUAAACGCUGAAGGCAUCUAAGCGUGAAGCCCCCCUUAAGAUGAGAUAUCCCAUUCGAAAGAAGUAAACCCCCUUGAAGACGACGAGGUAGAUAGGGCAGAGGUGGAAGUGCAGCAAUGCAUGGAGCUGACUGUUACUAAUCGGGUGAGGGCUUGACC
This 1417-nucleotide ribosomal RNA is filed under the name metagenome. RNAcentral's name for it is "bacterial LSU rRNA". It matches the Rfam family "Bacterial large subunit ribosomal RNA", at positions 1489 to 2925 of the family's 2925-position model. The record is from RNAcentral.